Chiloscyllium plagiosum (whitespotted bambooshark) is the source of this 365-nucleotide non-coding RNA. The record is from RefSeq and is a predicted model, not a curated record. NCBI's taxonomy places the organism in Eukaryota, Metazoa, Chordata, Chondrichthyes, Orectolobiformes, Hemiscylliidae.
CAGGUCAUCUACGAAUGAUUUAGCACCAGGUUCCCCAUGAACAUGAGAUGCAAGUAAAGGAGAGAGGCGGCGCCCAUACGGCCGCACUCCAGACCAGAAUCGAAUGGCGAUACGCACCGACCGGAGUCGGUUAUCCUAGGCCAACCAGUGAUUCACGGCGCUAGGGUAUGGUUACAUUUAGGCAGGAUUCUGACUUAGAGGCGUUCAGUCAUAAUCCCACAGAUGGUAGCUUUGCACCAUUGGCUCCUCAGCCAAGCACAUACACCAAAUGUCUGAAUCUGCGCUUCCUCUCGUACUGAGCAGGAUUACUAUUGCAACAAUACAACAUCAGUAGGGUAAAACUAACCUGUCAACUCGGAGGCCAA